AAUCAACGCUGGCGGCGUGCCUAACACAUGCAAGCCGCACGAGAAAGGGAGUUCGCUCCUGAGUAAAGUGGCGCACGGGUGAGUAACACGUGAAUCAUCUACCUCUGAAUGGGGAAUAACUGAGAGAAAUCUUAGCUAAUACCGCAUAAUACCUACGGUCAAAGCAGCAAUGCGUUUGGAGAGGAGUUCGCGGUCGAUUAGUUAGUUGGCGGGGUAAUGGCCCACCAAGACGAUGAUCGAUAUCCGGCCUGAGAGGGCGCACGGACACACUGGAACUGAAACACGGUCCAGACUCCUACGGGAGGCAGCAGU
This 312-nucleotide ribosomal RNA is filed under the name uncultured bacterium. RNAcentral describes it as "bacterial SSU rRNA". It matches the Rfam family "Bacterial small subunit ribosomal RNA", at positions 32 to 355 of the family's 1533-position model. The record is from RNAcentral.